This 496-nucleotide ribosomal RNA is filed under the name uncultured bacterium. RNAcentral describes it as "partial 16S ribosomal RNA". It matches the Rfam family "Bacterial small subunit ribosomal RNA", at positions 28 to 506 of the family's 1533-position model. The record is from RNAcentral.
GAUGAACGCUGGCGGCGUGCCUAAUACAUGCAAGUCGAGCGAACGGACGAGAAGCUUGCUUUUCUGAUGUUAGCGGCGGACGGGUGAGUAACACGUGGAUAACCUACCUAUAAGACUGGGAUAACUUCGGGAAACCGGAGCUAAUACCGGAUAAUAUUUUGAACCGCAUGGUUCAAAAGUGAAAGACGGUCUUGCUGUCACUUAUAGAUGGAUCCGCGCUGCAUUAGCUAGUUGGUAAGGUAACGGCUUACCAAGGCAACGAUGCAUAGCCGACCUGAGAGGGUGAUCGGCCACCAUGGAACUGAGACACGGUCCAGACUCCUACGGGAGGCAGCAGGAGGGAAUCUUCCGCAAUGGGCGAAAGCCUGACGGAGCAACGCGGCGUGAGUGAUGAAGGUCUUCGGAUCGUAAAACUCUGUUAUUAGGGAAGAACAUAUGUGUAAGUAACUGUGCACAUCUUGACGGUACCUAAUAAGAAAGCCACGGCUAACUACGU